GAAUGUGAGGGUGACCUAGCUGUGAACCUGCCACACCAUUGAUUGCCAGGGCCCAUUAGACUGAUGUGGUGGCCCGGUGUCUCCUUUCUCCCUCACCUCUGUGUGCAUCAGGCUUUAAGCUGCAGGCUCUUACAGCAAGAAUGACUUUCCCUGAUAAAGAAGGAUUCCUCCACAGUAGGCCCCGGCAGUGCAAGCUUUGCUUAGGGAGUCCUCAAGACGAGUUGCUUUCUAUGACCCCAAAAUGCCUCCCAAAGUAUUGAGAUGAAUGCAGCGGGAAGGGUCUGGCUGGGUCUCUUU
RNAcentral lists this small RNA (297 nucleotides) under Pteropus vampyrus (large flying fox). RNAcentral describes it as "7SK RNA (ENSPVAG00000029537.1)". The stretch from base 1 to 179 matches the Rfam family "7SK RNA". Rfam says of the family: 7SK was discovered as an abundant small nuclear RNA in the mid-70s but a possible function has only recently been suggested. Two independent studies have found that 7SK RNA binds the CDK9/cyclin T complex (known as elongation factor P-TEFb). The record is from RNAcentral. Lineage: Eukaryota; Metazoa; Chordata; Mammalia; Chiroptera; Pteropodidae.